GACGAACGCUGGCGGCGUGCUUAACACAUGCCAGUCGAACGGAAAGGCCCUGCUUGCAGGGUACUCGAGUGGCGAACGGGUGAGUAACACGUGGGUGAUCUGCCCUGCACUUCGGGAUAAGCCUGGGAAACUGGGUCUAAUACCGGAUAGGAGCCAUUUUUAGUGUGAUGGUUGGAAAGUUUUUUCGGUGUAGGAUGAGCUCGCGGCCUAUCAGCUUGUUGGUGGGGUAAUGGCCUACCAAGGCGGCGACGGGUAGCCGGCCUGAGAGGGUGGACGGCCACACUGGGACUGAGAUACGGCCCAGCCUCCUACGGGAGGGAGGAGGGGGGAAGAUUGCACAAUGGGCGCAAGCCUGAUGCAGCGACGCCGCGUGGGGGAUGACGGCCUUCGGGUUGGAAACUCCUUUCGCUAGGGACGAAGCUUUUUGUGACGGUACCUAGAGAAGAAGCACCGGCUAACUACGUG
Molecule: ribosomal RNA, 465 nt
Filed under: uncultured bacterium
Lineage: Bacteria
Description: partial 16S ribosomal RNA
Rfam family: Bacterial small subunit ribosomal RNA
Source: RNAcentral